This 29-nucleotide non-coding RNA is filed under the name Mus musculus (house mouse). Lineage: Eukaryota; Metazoa; Chordata; Mammalia; Rodentia; Muridae. The record is from RNAcentral.
UGUGAGAUAAAGAUGAUUAGGGGAACUUA